GGAACUUGGCAAGUCCUGAGAAUGGUACUGUUGUUCAGUGUCCAGUUUGGAAUGAGAUAAAUGCAGAUGAUAGAAGCUUCUUUGUAGACAAUCAGAAUUUUGAUUAGACCCAAAAUGCACUAGAACUCCAUUUUUGCUCCAGUCUAAACAAAAGAUGCUUUUCUGAGCAAAUUUUAUUGGUUAAUUUCUUCUUACUGCAUUUUAUCAGCAAUCAAAAUAGCUUUAAGAAAUUAGCCCAUCUUUGCAAAUUGAUCCUAGAUGUCAAGAAUCAACUGAAAUUCACCGAAACAUUUACUAAAACUAUUCCCAAGUUUCAUAACUCUAGUUUAGUAUACAAUAUGACCUAAAAGCAUUAC
RNAcentral lists this unclassified non-coding RNA (356 nucleotides) under Hevea brasiliensis (rubber tree). The record is from RNAcentral. Lineage: Eukaryota; Viridiplantae; Streptophyta; Magnoliopsida; Malpighiales; Euphorbiaceae.